GGUGACGGGAGGAGCGGAAAGGGAGGGGUUCUCUACGGGUUCUGCUGAUUUGUUUAAUCCCACGCUAUUCGGAGGCUUUCACGGAUGGCGGAUGGCGGACAGGAGGGAGGCGGAGGGGUGGGGGUCUCGGCGGGAGUUCCUUCCCAUCCUCCUCCCGCUCCCGCCCCCGCCAGAGCCACCUGACCCGUAGCGAAGUUGCCGGCCCGCCGCGCGCCGGCCUUUGUGCGCACCGCGGCGGCAGCCGGGAACCGGGAGCCCGAGCCGGCUCGGCAGCGCCGCCGCCCCCACCCUCGCGCCCCUUUCCCCUCCCCCACUGUCCCCGGAGCUGGCAAAUAAACAAAUCCACAAACAAAUUCUCCGUGUGCUCGGGAGAGGCGGCGGCGUGGGCGGCGGCGGAGAGGAGGCGCGGGCAAGGCGAGACUGGGCCUCCGCAGAGCGGGGUGGAGUACAGACCCCAGCCCAGGCCCAGCAACACGGAGCGCGGAUACGCGCGGAGGCAGCAGCGGCGGCGGCGGCCGCGGGAGCAGGGACGGUCGCCUUGGGGGCCAGGCCGGAUGAACAGGACCCCGCGGACACUCGGCUCCCAGCCGGCCCGCAGCGCUGGGGACUUGCCUGGCUACCUUUUGGGGGUUCCCGCGCCCCUCUCCGCCCAGGGCAGCAGAGUGCGGGGGCCCCCGGGAGCCGAAGAGCGGGGAGCCGAGGCGGCGGUGGCCCGGGAGCGGCAGGCGGCGGCGGCAGCUCCCGCCUGGACUGGUAAUUGCGCUCGGGGCCGGGCCGGGGCGAGGCGGGCAAGCGGCCUCUCUGGGUCCCCCCGUCUUUCUCCAGGAACAGCUCGAGCGCCUUCUCGCUGGCCCGCUGCGCGCGGAGAGGGCGAGCUCGCUGGGUUGUAAAAAGAGACGAGUUUUCAUCUUUGAG
Long non-coding RNA from Cebus imitator (Panamanian white-faced capuchin), 915 nucleotides. RefSeq lists it as uncharacterized. NCBI's taxonomy places the organism in Eukaryota, Metazoa, Chordata, Mammalia, Primates, Cebidae. The transcript has 2 exons. The record is from RefSeq and is a predicted model, not a curated record.